GAUGAACGCUAGCUACAGGCUUAACACAUGCAAGUCGAGGGGCAGCGGCAUCGAAAGCUUGCUUUCGGUAGCCGGCGACCGGCGCACGGGUGAGUAACGCGUAUCGAACCUGCCUCAUACUCGGGAAUAGCCUUGCGAAAGUAAGAUUAAUGCCCGGUGUUUUCAGAGUCCCGCAUGAGGCUUUGAACAAAGAUUUAUCGGUAUGAGAUGGCGAUGCGUCCCAUUAGCUUGUUGGCGGGGUAACGGCCCACCAAGGCAUCGAUGGGUAGGGGGUCUGAGAGGAAGGUCCCCCACAGUGGAACUGAGACACGGUCCAAACUCCCACGGGAGGCAGCAGUGGGGAAUUUUGGACAAUGGGCGAAAGCCUGAUCCAGCAAUGCCGCGUGCAGGAAGAAGGCCUUCGGGUUGUAAACUGCUUUUGUACGGAGCGAAAAGGUCUGCUCUAAUACAGGGGGCUCAUGACGGUACCGUAAGAAUAAGCACCGGCUAACUACGUGCCAGCAGCCGCCGCAG
This 513-nucleotide ribosomal RNA is filed under the name uncultured bacterium. RNAcentral describes it as "partial 16S ribosomal RNA". It matches the Rfam family "Bacterial small subunit ribosomal RNA", at positions 28 to 523 of the family's 1533-position model. The record is from RNAcentral.